This is a long non-coding RNA of Chenopodium quinoa (quinoa), 232 nucleotides long. RefSeq lists it as uncharacterized. The transcript is spliced from 2 exons. The record is from RefSeq and is a predicted model, not a curated record. NCBI's taxonomy places the organism in Eukaryota, Viridiplantae, Streptophyta, Magnoliopsida, Caryophyllales, Amaranthaceae.
CCGGAUACCAUCAACCAAAUGAUGACGACGAUGAUUUAUGUGAAUUGUAGAUCAAUAUGGUAUUGGUAUAUUUUGGGGCAUCAAUAUGUUUUUUUUUUUAAAUAAACAUUAACUAGAAAGGUUUUUGAUAUUUAACUCACGUACUUUUUUGUAUGGAACAAAUUUUGUAUGAAUGAUUCAAUUUAAUUGUGGUUGGAUGUUUUAAAUUAUACAUAUGAAGUAUAUUUUGAUG